RNAcentral lists this ribosomal RNA (253 nucleotides) under uncultured bacterium. Its description in RNAcentral is "partial 16S ribosomal RNA". It matches the Rfam family "Bacterial small subunit ribosomal RNA", at positions 524 to 776 of the family's 1533-position model. The record is from RNAcentral.
UACGAAGGGGGCUAGCGUUGCUCGGAAUCACUGGGCGUAAAGGGCGCGUAGGCGGCCUUCUAAGUCGAACGUGAAAUCCCUGGGCUCAACCCAGGAACUGCGUCCGAUACUGGGAGGCUUGAAUCCGGGAGAGGGAUGCGGAAUUCCAGGUGUAGCGGUGAAAUGCGUAGAUAUCUGGAGGAACACCGGUGGCGAAGGCGGCAUCCUGGACCGGCAUUGACGCUGAGGCGCGAAAGCCAGGGGAGCAAACGGG